UCCCCAGUGGCUCAGCAGUAAAGAAUCUGCCUGCAAAGCAGAAACCACAGGAGAUGCGGGGUUCGAUCCCUGGCUUGGGAA
This 81-nucleotide transfer RNA is filed under the name Bos taurus (domestic cattle). It matches the Rfam family "tRNA". Rfam says of the family: Transfer RNA (tRNA) molecules are approximately 80 nucleotides in length. Their secondary structure includes four short double-helical elements and three loops (D, anti-codon, and T loops). Lineage: Eukaryota; Metazoa; Chordata; Mammalia; Artiodactyla; Bovidae. The record is from Rfam by way of RNAcentral. RNAcentral also lists the same sequence under 1 other name.